CCUACGGGAGGCAGCAGUGGGGAAUAUUGCACAAUGGGGGAAACCCUGAUGCAGCGACGCCGCGUGAGUGAAGAAGGAAUUCGUUAUGUAAAGCUCUAUCAGCAGGGAAGAAAAUUACGGUACUUGAGUAAGAAGCUCCGGCUAACUCCGUGCCAGCAGCCGCGGUAAUACGUAGGGGGCAAGCGUUAUCCGGAUUUACUGGGUGUAACGGGAGCGUAGACGGCAGUGCAAGUCUGGAGUGAAAGGCGGGGGCUCAACCCCCGGACUGCUCAGGAAACUGUACGGCUGGAGUGCAGGAGAGGUAAGUGGAAUUCCUAGUGUAGCAGUGAAAUGCGUAGAUAUUAGGAGGAACACCAGUGGCGAAGGCGGCUUACUGGGAUGUAACUGACGUUGAGGCUCGAAAGCGUGGGGAGCAAACAGGAUUAGAUACCCCGGUAGUC
This 440-nucleotide ribosomal RNA is filed under the name uncultured bacterium. RNAcentral describes it as "partial 16S ribosomal RNA". It matches the Rfam family "Bacterial small subunit ribosomal RNA", at positions 338 to 795 of the family's 1533-position model. The record is from RNAcentral.